UCGAUUCNACACAAAUGAGAAGGGAGUCGUUUGCAGCUGUGCUGGCCUCCGACAAAGGGGCAUGUGCACGCUCGACUUCUCCUUUUCUUCAUUUACACACCUGUGAACCUGUUUGUAGGGUGUCUCGCAAGGGAUGCUCUAUGUCUUUUUCAUAUACUCCAUCGUAUGUUUAUAGAAUGUAUCUUUUUGCUCUCGUCAGAGACAAAAGUAAAGCCUUUAUAACUUUCAGCAACGGAUCUCUUGGCUCUCGCAUCGAUGAAGAACGCAGCGAAUUGCGAUAUGUAAUGUGAAUUGCAGAUUUUCAGUGAAUCAUCGAAUCUUUGAACGCACCUUGCGCUCCUUGGUAUUCCGAGGAGCAUGCCUGUUUGAGUGUCAUUAAAUUCUCAACUCCCUUUGAUUUUUUCAAGGGUGAGCUUGGAUCGUGGAGGUUCUGCCGGCUGUGAAGUCGGCUCCUCUGAAAUGCAUUGGCAAAUGCGUGUGCAUGAAUCGGCCUUUCGGUGUGAUAAUGAUCACCGUGGCUGGAUUGCUUUAACGCCUAUGCCCAACCUUUUCCAUUCACUUGGAAAAACCCCANUUGACAUUUUG
This 585-nucleotide unclassified non-coding RNA is filed under the name Coniophora olivacea. RNAcentral's name for it is "sequence contains ITS1, 5.8S rRNA gene, ITS2". The stretch from base 221 to 375 matches the Rfam family "5.8S ribosomal RNA". The record is from RNAcentral. Lineage: Eukaryota; Fungi; Basidiomycota; Agaricomycetes; Boletales; Coniophoraceae.